Molecule: ribosomal RNA, 483 nt
Filed under: uncultured bacterium
Lineage: Bacteria
Description: partial 16S ribosomal RNA
Rfam family: Bacterial small subunit ribosomal RNA
Source: RNAcentral
AUUGAACGCUGGCGGCAGGCCUAACACAUGCAAGUCGAGCGGAUGAAGGGAGCUUGCUCCUGGAUUCAGCGGCGGACGGGUGAGUAAUGCCUAGGAAUCUGCCUGGUAGUGGGGAUAACGUCCGGAAACGGGCGCUAAUACCGCAUACGUCCUGAGGGAGAAAGUGGGGGAUCUUCGGACCGCACGCUAUCAGAUGAGCCUAGGUCGGAUUAGCUAGUUGGUGGGGUAAAGGCCUACCAAGGCGACGAUCCGUAACUGGUCUGAGAGGAUGAUCAGUCACACUGGAACUGAGACACGGUCCAGACUCCUACGGGAGGCAGCAGUGGGGAAUAUUGGACAAUGGGCGAAAGCCUGAUCCAGCCAUGCCGCGUGUGUGAAGAAGGUCUUCGGAUUGUAAAGCACUUUAAGUUGGGAGGAAGGGCAGUAAGUUAAUACCUUGCUGUUUUGACGGUACCAACAGAAUAAGCACCGGCUAACUUCGUG